AAGAAUUUAAAGGUCGAACAGACCUAUAUAUUAAGCGGCUACACCUAAUUAUUAUCUUAAUCCAACAUCGAGGUCGCAAGCCUUCCUGUAAAUAUGAACUCUGGAGGAAGAUUACGCUGUUAUCCCUAAGGUAACUUAUUCUAACAAUCAAUAAGAUUGGAUCUAAUAACCAUAAAUUAAUGUUUAAUAGAUAAAAAAGUUAAUUUUAUAUUUUUGUCACCCCAACAAAAUACCUAAAUUAAUAAUAAAAAUUAAUAUUCAAAAAAUUAUUAAUAAAAUUAAAUAUAAAGCUCUAUAGGGUCUUCUCGUCUUCCAAUAUUAUUUCAGCCUUUUGACUGAAAAGUUAAAUUUUAAUUUCAAAUUAAAUGAGACAGUCAGCACCUCGUCAAACCUUUCAUACCAGCCCUCUAUUAAAAGACUAAUGAUUAUGCUACCUUUGCACGGUCAAAAUACCGCGGCCGUUAAAUAAUUUUUCACUGGGCAGGUCAGACUUCUUAUUUUAUC
This 504-nucleotide ribosomal RNA is filed under the name Tanypteryx pryeri. Its description in RNAcentral is "partial 16S rRNA". Lineage: Eukaryota; Metazoa; Arthropoda; Insecta; Odonata; Petaluridae. The record is from RNAcentral.